RNAcentral lists this ribosomal RNA (570 nucleotides) under Meyerozyma guilliermondii. RNAcentral describes it as "eukaryotic LSU rRNA". It matches the Rfam family "Eukaryotic large subunit ribosomal RNA", at positions 62 to 648 of the family's 3401-position model. Lineage: Eukaryota; Fungi; Ascomycota; Pichiomycetes; Serinales; Debaryomycetaceae. The record is from RNAcentral.
AAACCAACAGGGAUUGCCUUAGUAGCGGCGAGUGAAGCGGCAAAAGCUCAAAUUUGAAAUCUGGCGCCUUCGGUGUCCGAGUUGUAAUUUGAAGAUUGUAACCUUGGGGUUGGCUCUUGUCUAUGUUUCUUGGAACAGGACGUCACAGAGGGUGAGAAUCCCGUGCGAUGAGAUGCCCAAUUCUAUGUAAGGUGCUUUCGAAGAGUCGAGUUGUUUGGGAAUGCAGCUCUAAGUGGGUGGUAAAUUCCAUCUAAAGCUAAAUAUUGGCGAGAGACCGAUAGCGAACAAGUACAGUGAUGGANAGAUGAAAAGAACUUUGAAAAGAGAGUGAAAAAGUACGUGAAAUUGUUGAAAGGGAAGGGUUUGAGAUCAGACUCGAUAUUUUGUGAGCCUUGCCUUCGUGGCGGGGUGACCCGCAGCUUAUCGGGCCAGCAUCGGUUUGGGCGGUAGGAUAAUGGCGUAGGAAUGUGACUUUACUUCGGUGAAGUGUUAUAGCCUGCGUUGAUGCUGCCUGCCUAGACCGAGGACUGCGAUUUUAUCAAGGAUGCUGGCAUAAUGAUCCCAAACCGC